This 730-nucleotide ribosomal RNA is filed under the name uncultured bacterium. Its description in RNAcentral is "bacterial SSU rRNA". It matches the Rfam family "Bacterial small subunit ribosomal RNA", at positions 28 to 776 of the family's 1533-position model. The record is from RNAcentral.
GAUGAACGCUGACAGAAUGCUUAACACAUGCAAGUCGACUUGAAGCAACUUCGGUUGUGGAAAGUGGCGGACGGGUGAGUAACGCGUAAAGAACUUGCCCUUCAGUCUGGGACAACCAUUGGAAACGAUGGCUAAUACCGGAUAUUAUGGAACUCUCGCAUGGGAGGAUCAUGAAAGCUAUAUGCGCUGAAGGAGAGCUUUGCGUUCCAUUAGCUAGUUGGUGAGGUAACGGCUCACCAAGGCGACGAUGGAUAGCCGGCCUGAGAGGGUGAUCGGCCACAAGGGGACUGAGACACGGCCCUUACUCCUACGGGAGGCAGCAGUGGGGAAUAUUGGACAAUGGACCAAAAGUCUGAUCCAGCAAUUCUGUGUGCACGAUGAAGGUUUUCGGAUCGUAAAGUGCUUUCAGUUGGGAAGAAGAAAGUGACGGUACCAACAGAAGAAGCGACGGCUAAAUACGUGCCAGCAGCCGCGGUAAUACGUAUGUCGCAAGCGUUAUCCGGAUUUAUUGGGCGUAAAGCGCGUCUAGGCGGGUUCAUAAGUCUGAUGCUAAAAUGCGGGGCUCAACUCCGUAUUGCGUUGGAAACUGUGAACCUAGAGUAUCAGAGAGGUGGGCGGAACUACAAGUGUAGAGGUGAAAUUCGUAGAUAUUUGUAGGAAUGCCGAUGGAGAAGUCAGCUCACUGGAUGAAUACUGACGCUAAAGCGCGAAAGCGUGGGUAGCAAACAGG